RNAcentral lists this ribosomal RNA (542 nucleotides) under Alternaria tomaticola. RNAcentral's name for it is "eukaryotic LSU rRNA". The stretch from base 207 to 360 matches the Rfam family "5.8S ribosomal RNA". Lineage: Eukaryota; Fungi; Ascomycota; Dothideomycetes; Pleosporales; Pleosporaceae. The record is from RNAcentral.
GUAACAAGGUCUCCGUAGGUGAACCUGCGGAGGGAUCAUUACACAAAUAUGAAGGCGGGCUGGAACCUCUCGGGGUUACAGCCUUGCUGAAUUAUUCACCCUUGUCUUUUGCGUACUUCUUGUUUCCUUGGUGGGUUCGCCCACCACUAGGACAAACAUAAACCUUUUGUAAUUGCAAUCAGCGUCAGUAACAAAUUAAUAAUUACAACUUUCAACAACGGAUCUCUUGGUUCUGGCAUCGAUGAAGAACGCAGCGAAAUGCGAUAAGUAGUGUGAAUUGCAGAAUUCAGUGAAUCAUCGAAUCUUUGAACGCACAUUGCGCCCUUUGGUAUUCCAAAGGGCAUGCCUGUUCGAGCGUCAUUUGUACCCUCAAGCUUUGCUUGGUGUUGGGCGUCUUGUCUCUAGCUUUGCUGGAGACUCGCCUUAAAGUAAUUGGCAGCCGGCCUACUGGUUUCGGAGCGCAGCACAAGUCGCACUCUCUAUCAGCAAAGGUCUAGCAUCCAUUAAGCCUUUUUUUCAACUUUUGACCUCGGAUCAGGUAG